This is a non-coding RNA of Physeter macrocephalus (sperm whale), 73 nucleotides long. Lineage: Eukaryota; Metazoa; Chordata; Mammalia; Artiodactyla; Physeteridae. The record is from the annotation of a RefSeq genome assembly.
UCCCUGAUGGUCCAGUGGUUAGGACUCAGCACUUUCACUGCUGUGGAGCCGGGUUCAAUCCCUGGUCAGGGAA